UGUUACUUUAACACUUUUUGCACAGGUGGAGUGUCGCGUGAUUUUCACUGAUUCAAGGCGCGUAAACAUCAAAUUUUCGUCUGAUGUGGCGUCCCCAACGCCUUUCUUUAAUUCUUGGCCCUUAAUACUUUCAUGUCGAGCUUCUCCAAUUCUUCCAUGGCAUCUGUGGAUGAAGGUCGAUAUUGUAGGUGUGGUAAUGAAGCACUAUUAAAGACUUCAUGGACCCAAUUAAAUCCAGGGCGUAGAUUUUUUACUUGUAGAAUUUCAAAGAAAAUGGGUGGUUGUGACUAUUUUCUUUGGUAUGAAGAUCGACACCCUCCACAAGCAAACAGGGUAAUGUGGGGAUUGUUGAAGAAAGUCAAUGCUUUUGAUGAAAAAUUAAAGCA
This is a long non-coding RNA of Solanum tuberosum (potato), 386 nucleotides long. RefSeq lists it as uncharacterized. NCBI's taxonomy places the organism in Eukaryota, Viridiplantae, Streptophyta, Magnoliopsida, Solanales, Solanaceae. The record is from RefSeq and is a predicted model, not a curated record. The transcript is spliced from 3 exons.